UAGGGAAUCUUCCGCAAUGGACGCAAGUCUGACGGAGCAACGCCGCGUGAGUGAAGAAGGAUUUCGGUUCGUAAAACUCUGUUGUUAGAGAAGAACAGCGCAUAGAGUAACUGUUAUGCGUGUGACGGUAUCUAACCAGAAAGCCACGGCUAACUACGUGCCAGCAGCCGCGGUAAUACGUAGGUGGCAAGCGUUGUCCGGAUGUAUUGGGCGUAAAGCGAGCGCAGGCGGUCAAUUAAGUCUGAUGUGAAAGCCCCCGGCUCAACCGGGGAGGGUCAUUGGAAACUGGUUGACUUGAGUGCAGAAGAGGAGAGUGGAAUUCCAUGUGUAGCGGUGUAAUGCGUAGAUAUAUGGAGGAACACCAGUGGCGAAGGCGACUCUCUGGUCUGUAACUGACGCUGAGGUUCGAAAGCGUGGGUAGCAAACAGG
This 429-nucleotide ribosomal RNA is filed under the name Bacteroidota bacterium. Its description in RNAcentral is "Bacteroidetes bacterium partial 16S ribosomal RNA". It matches the Rfam family "Bacterial small subunit ribosomal RNA", at positions 355 to 776 of the family's 1533-position model. Lineage: Bacteria; Pseudomonadati; Bacteroidota. The record is from RNAcentral.